GCUGGGCAUAGUGGUGCAUGCCUGUAAUCCCAGCUACUCGGGAGGCUGAGGCAGGAGAAUCACUUGAACCCAGGAGACGGAGGUUGCAGUGAGUCGAGAUGGCACCACUGCACUCCAGCCUGGGGGACAGAGUGAGACUCUGUCUCAA
Molecule: non-coding RNA, 148 nt
Filed under: Nomascus leucogenys (northern white-cheeked gibbon)
Lineage: Eukaryota; Metazoa; Chordata; Mammalia; Primates; Hylobatidae
Source: Rfam by way of RNAcentral